Molecule: non-coding RNA, 467 nt
Organism: Pelobates cultripes (western spadefoot toad)
Lineage: Eukaryota; Metazoa; Chordata; Amphibia; Anura; Pelobatidae
Source: the annotation of a GenBank genome assembly
GGGAUAUUCACUCAGAACACCAGCAGAAGCAGACUUUGGAUGAGAGCUCAGGAAAAGGGUGGCAGUCACACCACUAAAAGGGUUCACUCAGAACAGCUGCAGAAGACUUUGGACAUGAGUACAGGUAAAGGUGGCAGUCACAACCAUGAAAGGGAUUCACUUUGAUCAGCAGCAGAAGACUUUGGACAUAAGUACAGGCCAAGAUGGCAUAAAGGAAGAUAUUCACUCAAAACAGCAGCAGCAGACUUUGGCCCAGGGUUGGACUGGCCUACUGGGAAACCAGGAAAUUUCCCAGGGGGCUCCUGUAGCUGGGGCUGCUGCCAGGGUAAACCUUGUUUUUUUCCCUAAACGUGUUGAGGAGCUGCGAGUAGCAGCAGCGCAUGGUUUUUCCUCAAAACAAACAGACAUGUAGGUUGCCAAGAUAUCAUGUGAAGUCAUGUCCUGGUGGCUGACACUGUAUGCAGGAG